This is a long non-coding RNA of Impatiens glandulifera, 941 nucleotides long. RefSeq lists it as uncharacterized. Lineage: Eukaryota; Viridiplantae; Streptophyta; Magnoliopsida; Ericales; Balsaminaceae. The record is from RefSeq and is a predicted model, not a curated record. The transcript has 4 exons.
AAAAAAAAAUCUUCUUAAAUAUCGGCUUUACCUAAGUUCUCUCUCCCGCCUCAUCUCUGAGACUCUGAUCUUUAAUUUCAUCUAAUCUUUGAUUUCAUCUCUUGUAUUUCAAAUUCUCAGGUAUUAUUUGUUCGUAGAGACCUGCAUCUUUUCUGACUUCGGCCUUUUUGUUCACUCGCCUAAUUCACCGGUACGUCAUCUCCAUCAUUUUAGCUUCCCCUUUCUUUCUCCCUUGUUUAUCUAUUUCUAGGUCAUAUAAUCGAAGAGUAAGAGAUGCAAGGUAUGACUAAGGAUCUGAAUACGGAGAUUUGAAAGCUAAAAUCCAGAACGAAUGACGAAUUCAUGAAGUUGGUGUUUACCGAGCAGAAAGUGAAGGGUGUACAUAGAAUUGAAGCAAAGUUUGAUAAUUCUCAAAUGUGCGAUGGUUAUAUAACUGAUAUCUACGACUAUCUUGAUAACAUUGAGGGCUCUAGGUUUUCGCUUUGUUGGACGGGUACCACAUCCCAAUUGUUAUUAUAGUGAAGCUCCAAAAGCAGCAGUUGAGAUUGACUCCGAGCAAUGCCUCCUUGAGAAGUUGUUCUCAAGCCAUUUCAGGUAUUAAUCAAUUAGAAAAUUUUCGGAGUUCUUGACUAUCAAAUUUCAGGGAUGGCAGAUUCAAAAUGAAGGUGUAGAUUUUUGAAGAAAUUUUCUAAGACUUUUUAUUUUGUUUAGGACGUGGGGUGUAAAUUUGUGUAUUGGAUGACUUUUUAGAUUUUGAUUAUUUGAAUCUUAGAAACACUCCAAUGAAAUGUUUUAUAGUAACAGAUGUUUUCAUGUAUUAGUAUAUUAGAUUGAGGGUAUGAACUUUGUGGUGCUAGAGUUCUCAACUGUACAUUAUGUUGAUAUAAAGUUCUUCAAUUUCCUCAUUGGCAUUGAAUCAACUAACUAUUGAUUCGUUUCUU